RNAcentral lists this ribosomal RNA (424 nucleotides) under uncultured bacterium. RNAcentral's name for it is "bacterial SSU rRNA". It matches the Rfam family "Bacterial small subunit ribosomal RNA", at positions 355 to 796 of the family's 1533-position model. The record is from RNAcentral.
UCGGGAAUUUUGCGCAAUGGGCGAAAGCCUGACGCAGCAACGCCGCGUGAGGGAUGAAGGCCUUCGGGUUGUAAACCUCUUUUCUCAGGGACGAUAAUGACGGUACCUGAGGAAUAAGUCACGGCUAACUACGUGCCAGCAGCCGCGGUAAUACGUAGGUGGCUAGCGUUGUCCGGAUUUACUGGGCGUAAAGAGCGCGCAGGCGGUCGUUCAAGUCGAGUGUGAAAGCCCCCGGCUCAACUGGGGAGGGUCACUCGAUACUGAUCGACUCGAAGGCAGGAGAGGGAAGCGGAAUUCCCGGUGUAGUGGUGAAAUGCGUAGAUAUCGGGAGGAACACCAGUGGCGAAGGCGGCUUUCUGGCCUGUUCUUGACGCUGAGGCGCGAAAGCUAGGGUAGCAAACGGGAUUAGAUACCCCCGUAGUCC